Mus musculus (house mouse) is the source of this 1947-nucleotide long non-coding RNA. RefSeq annotates it as predicted gene, 33017. The transcript has 4 exons. Lineage: Eukaryota; Metazoa; Chordata; Mammalia; Rodentia; Muridae. The record is from RefSeq and is a predicted model, not a curated record.
UCCUCAACUGGGGGAUGACUUCAUCUUUAGGCUGUGUGGCUUCCCUGGAAAUAUUCUCAAGUAAAGAAACUUGAGGUCAGAUUUUGGAGGAAGAGAAGAAAGUAAGAGAAGCAGGCAGAAAGCUGGUACAUUGGUCUGAGAGACAUGGUGAGGGUCUCAGCCAGACAGGAGCCUCUUCCCAAUUCUUGCUGCCUACUUUGUGGGCUCCAAAGAGGGACACCCUAGGCCAUCUCCAGGAGGGCAUCAUCAGUCACAGUCUUGAUCCGGAUUGUCCACUGACGCCAGGCACGGACUUGGAGUAUUUCUGUAUACUUUGCUCUUUUCUCCUCCUGGGAGCCAUCAUAAAGUCAGCCAGGCAGACUCAAAGCCAUGUCACUGUGCACACAGACUUUAAGCUCCAAAGGACUGACUUGAGACCCUGGUCUUGUGCUGAUAGCCCUGAGAUCUAAGGGUGCUGCCUAGAAUCUUACACACACCCAGCUGCUGUUUCCAGCCACCACUUGAGGCCAGAAGAGCCUUUCCUCCCCAUUCCUAAGUGACUCAGCUUCUGUACAAUGACUGGAGGCCAUCUGGACAGUAUCCAGGAGGACUUGGUGGCUCUUCACAAGCUCUCAGUGUGAGCUUCAGGAAGCAUCUGCGAGUAUGGAAGCUCACGUGUGCAAUCAAAGGCUUGGGGUCCGUGACAUUGUGGCUGCCUGCUGAGUGGUCGCACUGCGCUCGUUCCCUGACCUGUGACCUGUAGUGAGAAUUUUGGCUUCUUUAAAAAACACAGAACUAUUAUAAGAAUGCGGUUUUUGUUUUAAUCCCAGGUGUGGAAUGCGAGGCUCCUUCCAAUCGUCCCACAGUAGCUGACUGUGGUUUGCCUCAUGCUCUGGCAGAGGUGGGAUUUUGCCAGCUGCAGAUAGUUUCUGCAAGUGUGUGAUGUUUGGAAUUCUGGGGGCUCUUUAGAGGGUAAAUACUUGGGUCCCAAGAGCUGGGAAACUGUUGAUUGGUAGCAGAAUGCCGUUGGUUUCUGUUGGUCACAGUUUGCUAAGUAGUUGUAAGCAAAGAAAAAGAAAGAAGAAAUCAGAUAUCCGGAUGGCAAAGAUCAAACUUGCCCCCAAGGAACUUGAUGCCCUUAGUUAACAGGAAGUGUUCUAAUGAUAUUGUGGACUCUUUCUUCUCUUAUCCUUUUUUUCUCUCCUACGUAAUGUUAGGGGAUUGAAAGGGAAGAAGUAAAGGGAUGGAGAAGGGUGGGAGAAAGAAGAACCCACAAAGUAGCCAGAAGAACAGCUACAGUGACCUCAGACAUAUCUUAAUCCAGGUGACCUCUGAAGAUAUGCGAGAGCUGCCAAGGAAGAAGGAGGUGAGAGUAUCAGUCCCUGGUACCCUUUCCCAACAUGCCCAGCUCCCCACGACUCCGAGUUCCUUUGUGCCCUCUCCACCUUCCUAUGGUUGUUACAUGUGCUUUUAGCUGUGGAAACAGAGGCUCACAGGGCAGAGUUAGCAUUGGAUGCUAUGUAGCCACCCAAGGCCAUUCUGUGCUGUGUCCACAGGACUCUGGAGCCUGGAGGAGGAGGCUGUGCUGAGUCCUGGUUUCUAGAGGUGUGCAGGCAGGAUUAACCAUAGCCCAGGAAGGCGGGAGGCAGAUGUAGAAAUCAGAGGCCAAAGAACCACCCACCCUCUGCCCUUGGGACUCUGGCAGCGACUCUGAACUGUGUAAUACCAGCCCCUGCCCACGCAGCUGCUGAGAUGAGUGGCCGUGCGUGCACCUUUGACCUGGUGAUCUUUAACUUGGUGACUCAGCCUGGGAGCUGGAGCACCGUGAUGAACACGCUGACAGAUUGAAGCCUGCCUUUGUGACAAGUCUUUUUAUACAUUGAAAUUUAGCUGGCCAUGGAAGUACACAUGUGUAAUCCCAGUACUCAAGAGGUAGAGGCAGGAUUCAUCCCAUAAUCAGCCACCAAA